GGGAUGGCUAUAUUGCUGGGAGCAAACUCCAAGCUAAUAUGAAGCAUAUAAAUACAAGUUAUGCCUUGGGAUGAAAGACAAUUUCGAAUUAGCUUUGUCCACAAAGAAGGAAGCUAUAAGUAAUGCACCUAUGAAUUUCAUGGAGAGUUCGAUCCUGGCUCAAGAAUCCGCCCAAGGAGGGGCUCACGUCUGCUUAGCUAGUUGGUGAGGCAAUAGCUUACCACGACGAUGAUCAGUAGCUGGCCCGAGAGGAUGAUCAGCCACACUGGGAUUGAGACAUGGCCCAGACUCCUACGGGAGGCAGCAGUGGGGAAUUUUCCGCAAUGGGGGAAAGCUUGACGGAGCAAUGCCGCGUGGAGGUAAAAGGCCUACGGGUCAUGAACUUCUUUUCUCAGAGAAGAAGCAAUGACGGGAUCCGAGGAAUACGCACCGACUAACUCUGUGCAAGCAGCCGCGGUAAGACAGAAGAUGCAAGCGUUAUUCGGAAUGAUUGGGUGUAAAGCGUCUAUAGGUGGCUUUUCAAGUCCGCCGUCAAAUCCCAGGGCUCAACCCUGGACAGGUGUUGGAAACUACCAAGCUAGAGUAUGGUAGGGACAGAGGUAAUUUCCAGUGGAGCGGUGAAAUGCGUAGAGAUCAGAAAGAAAACCAACGGCGAAAGCACUCUGCUGGGCCGACACUGGCAUUGAGAGAUGAAAGCUAGAGGAGCGAAUGGGAUUAGGUACCCCAGUAGUCCCAGUUGUAAACGAUGGAUACUAGGCAUUGUGCGUAUCGACCCGUGCAGUGUUGUAGCUAAUGCUUUAAGUAUCCUGCCUGGGGAGUACAUUCGCAAGAAUGAAACCCAAAGGAAUUGACUGGGGCCCGCACAAGCGGUGGAGCAUGUGGUUUAAUUCGAUGCAAAGCGAAGAACCUUACCAAGGCUUGACAUGUCGCGAAUUCUCUUGAAAGAGAGGGGUGCUUCGGGAACACAGACACAUGUGGUGCAUGGCUGUCGUCAGCUCGUGCCGUAAGGUGUUAGGUCAAGUCCCGCAACAAGUGCAACCCUUGUGUUUAGUUGCCACCAUUGAGUUUGGAACCUUGAACAGACUGCCGGUGAUAAGCUGGAGGAAGGUGAGGAUGAUGUCAAGUCAUCAUGCCCCUUAUACCCUGGGCGACACACAUGCUACAAUGGUUAGGACAAAGGGUUGUGAUCCUGCGAAGGUGAGCUAACUCCAAAAACCCAUCCUCAGCUAGGAUUGCAGACUACAACUUGUCUGCAUGAAGCCGGAAUCGCUAGUAAUCGCCGGUCAGCCAUACAGCGGUGAAUUUGCUCCUGGGCCUUGUACACACUGCCUAUCACACUAUGGGAGUUGGCCAUGCCCGAAGUCGUUGCCUUAACUGCAAGGAGGGGGAUGCCGAAGGCGGGGCUAGUGACUGGAGUGAAGUCAUAUCAAGGUAGCCGUACUGGAAGGUGCGACUG
RNAcentral lists this ribosomal RNA (1456 nucleotides) under Amborella trichopoda. RNAcentral's name for it is "bacterial SSU rRNA". It matches the Rfam family "Bacterial small subunit ribosomal RNA". The record is from RNAcentral. Lineage: Eukaryota; Viridiplantae; Streptophyta; Magnoliopsida; Amborellales; Amborellaceae.